AAUCCAGAUCCUUGACCCACUAAGCAAAGGCCGGGGAUUGAACCCACAUCCUCAUGGAUACUAGUCAGAUUAAUUUUUGCUGCACCACGAUAGGAACUCCCUUGUUCCCUAUUUUAGCACCUCCUAUAGCUCCUCCUAUUUGCAUAUUCCUUUUCUAGCAGAGUCUCCCUGCAUGAUCCAACUAUCACCCUUUACCUCAUCCACCAACACCCAUUCAAGUUAUUUUUCACAGUAUUACUUCCUAUGGUCAUUUACUUAGGCCCCACAAAUGGCUUCUAUUACCUUUGUUUUAGUCUAAUCCACAGUUUGUGAUGAUGAAGUUUCAGGUGGAAGGGGUGUGUGCUGUCUCUUACUCUGUAUAUAUGCAUUUGUGGGUAGCAGAGGGAGGGGAGAGGAGGAGAAAGCACAGUGUGUGUUCUGCAAUGGAUAACUUGAAAGCACAGAAUCUUGAGACUGUAUAUUAUUCUAGGAUUUAUGACAUUCGAAGACUCAUAAAAAGAAAAAUUCAUUCCCUGUGAAUAGCAGGAAGAGCAAUUUUUUUUUUUUCCUUUUCCCUCCCUAGAAAAAAAAAAUGAAGAAUUACCAUGUAUACCUCUUAGCCAAGAGCUUAAAUUCUGAUCUAGGGACUGUUGGAUAGAUAGGUAGAAUCCCACUAAUUCAGGUUAAAAAAAAAAAAAAAAAGACAACUUGAGACCAAGAAAGUUCAUGUGUUUGAGGGGUGAACAAUGCAUUGAACUGCCAUGAGGUAGGAGGACUUAAUUCUGAUUCUUAUCAUCCACUAUCUGUGUGACGUUGGGCAGUUUACCAAAGUACUUUCACCUUCAGUUUCCUCAUUGGUACCACUUAGCAUAAUAUCUUCCCUGCUACCUUACAGGGUGGUUGUGGACAUGAGGUGAGACAAUGACUACAAAAACCCCUUGUUACUGGAAUAGGCAUGCAUACAGAAUAGGCAUGCAUACAGAGCCCCAAGAUCUCUCCCAAGCUCAGCUAUGUCUGACACCCAGACCCCAUCAACAUGGCAGUGCCUGUGCUUGUGUUUUCCCUCCAGUCACUGUCUCCAGGAUAUAGAAGCUUGUUGGCAAAGGGAAAAUAAUACAAGACAAAAUUCUGCUUCUGUCAUACAAUCCCUUAUCUCAUUUUUCUGUCCUGUUUUGUAAAUAGUGAUCUACGUAUAUUUUGGUGAGCCUACAAGAUUACACCAGGAUUCCCCCAAAUAGCUCCUUAUAUGGGAAGGGUAAACUGUCUAAUCCAGGGAGGCUUAAUUCUAUGAGACAUCAGGGAUUUAAGGGUUAGGAUGGCAGUUGACCAUUAUCCAGCCAUGAUGGACCUUUGGGCAUCAUAUUACCUAGCCUAUUGCAACCCUAGUUUCCUCAGGAAGAACUCUAAAAUGAAUAUUUUGAAUAAUAUAAUUUCUAGUUCUCUUUCAGCUCUAAAUUCUAUGAUCCUGAGCCUACCACACAUGCUCAGCUUUUCUUUCUUUCUUUUUUUUUUAAUGAUGACCAAGCAAAAGCAAAGCCAGCCAGAACCUAAAUAAUCAAAAAUAAUUAACCAAUUAAUUACACAUUUUAUUUGUUCAACAAUUGUUUUUUGAAUAUCAUCUUUAUGCCAGUUCUAGGUACUAGGAACAAUGGGGAAAACAAGAUAUGCAAGAUUCCUGCUCUUAUGGUGCUCACUGCUCAGUAGAAAACAAAGAAGUAGAAAGAGAAUAAGGAAUGAACAGAGACAUGUGCUAUCCAAUGUGGAAUUUUCCCUAUUGAGGGCCAAGAUCAUGUCUUAUUCACAUGUCUGGAGCUUUGGGAAUCUGUAGUACAGAAGAGAAAUUUUAGGCAAUGAUGAAGAUUGAGAUUCCUUCAGAAAAACAUGGGGACUAAAAAAGCAUCAGGCUGAGGAAGGGGACCCAAUGAAGACCAGCUUUCGCGAAGUCAGCAGAAGAAAAGUAUCUGCUAAGGAAGACUAAAAAGAAAGAGGAGAAUCAGAAGAGAUCCACAUUUGGAAUCCAAGAUACUUUAGAAGAAUGAUGCAGAUUUUAUGCAUUCAAUGAACAAUGUGUUGAAUACCUACUGUAUGCCAAUGAACAUUCGAGGUGUUGGGGAUAAAAUGUAGAACAAGACAACUCUGUUCUGCCUCUUUGGAGUUGAUGCUCGAGUAUGGAAAAUGGAAACUGAGGGAAUAAUUACAUGCAGUGUGGAACUGGAGUCCUGGUCCGUUUCAAACUGGAGACCCAAAGCUUAUGUCUGGCAAGGGCUUUGACUGGCUCCUUUUUCAUUUCCUUCACACUUAUUCAUUAUUCCUGAUCCUGCCGGCUGCGAUUUCUGAGUCCUUGAGAGUUUGAACAAGGCGAAAAAAAAAAAAAAAAAAAAAAAAGGAGAAGGAAAGAAGAGGAAGGGCAGCAGGAAAGGCCCCAUUGACAGAAGUGACACUGCUGACAGCGUUCUUUCUCGGAGGCAGUUUACAUGCCACAGAAUGUGCUGAAGUCGUCUGGCAGCUCGCAUGAUGAGGGUAAUCAUGCUCCCAGACGCGGUCCUCGUGCACCUGCGCUUGGCGGAGGCAGCGGAUCCUCACCCCCGGCUGGGCUCCUCCCCUCUCUCUUCACAGCUCCCCUCCUCCCCCCCGCGCAUGGGCUGCUCUCUUCCCACCCGGGAGUGUCAGUGAGGGAUCUGGUGCGAAGGGGUGGGAGAUUGAGUCUUUGCUUCCCAGUGUGCUGUCACCUCCUAAUGUACUGGACUCCUGGGAGUGCAUGAAGGCUUCUUAUAUGAAGAGUAAUGGGCUAACUUACACAGCAAGAUGAGAAAACACAUACCACUUAGCUCUCUAGCUGGGUAGAGCCAGAGUCCGGGUUAAAACCACAUGGUAGGAAGCAGCUGUCAUGUGCUGGACUAAAGUCUAUUUCUUGUGGAAUGUUCUCGGAAACAUCAUUAGUUAUUGCGAAUAGGGAGCGAAGUUGUUGCUUGAAACACAGAGGCAGUCCGUUAUAUGUAACAAGUAGUUACUGAAUCACUCCAGCUCUCUCUCCUCUGGAUACUGGUAGCCUCUGCUGGCUCCAAGCGACUCUCCAAAAAUGUAUGAGAGAUAAGCACUUAUUUUCUAUUUUAAUGGAAAACAUGUGCUCCAAGAAUUAAGAGGAGGGUUUGUUAACUGAUUGACAUGGGUGGGAUGCCAGAUCUGGAAGGGAAGGCAGAAUUUACAUAAGGGUAGAGAAAGAAGGAUCAUGAGACAAGCAGAGAUUUAAAAAUUUUUCCAGGUCCUAUGGGAUGUUAUUAGAGUUGAGGGAACUCUAUCCAAUCUUGUGGGAUAGACCAUGAUGGAAACGAAUAUAAAAAAGAACACAUAUGUAUAUAUAUGUAUGUGUAUAUGUAUGUAUAUGUAUAUCUAUAUAUCUAUAUAUAACUUAGACACAUUGCUGUACAGCAAAAAUUAAUAGAACAAUGAUACUUUAAUAAUAAAAAAAGAACCAAUAUUAGGUCAUGAGUGUUCACCAAAAUAGUGCUUGGGGGAGCUGUUACUAUAUAACACAGUUGGUAGGAACAAAUAUGAAAACGGAGAAAGAGAGGGAGAAUGAGAUAGAGUUGGAAGAAGGGAUUAAUUACUCCAAGAAGGAGAAUUUGAAUCUUGAAAUUUAAAAAGUUGAGACUUUGUUGGUCUUAGAAGGCUUAAGGAAAGAUUAUCCCAGUAGUUAACAGGUAAAAUUUCACUUGCAUAAUAAGAAGCCUAGAAAAGGAGUUCCUGUGUUGGACUGCAGCUUGAAGGAGAGAGGGUAAGGUAAAUAAAAGAGAAAAUGAACAAAUGCCUUCACUGUGAAUGGUUCCAUGUGUCCUCCCUUUUUCUUCUAGGACUUUAUUUUUUUUAACGACCUGUAUAUCAUUUUGAAUUAUUUGGAAUUUUAAAAAAGUGAUUCAGCUACUUUAUUGUCCUGUUCCAGUAAAUAAUACAUUUCCCUAAUAACAGUGCUAGUGCAUGGGCUGUAUGGUGUGGAGCUACUACUGUCUGUUAAAGAAAUUAAACUUCUAGGUCUUUGUUACAGAAACAAGAACCUGAAAUCAAUUGUGGUGGAUGGGAAGGCAUCUGCCCAGUCUCCUCGCUGCCAUGUUUUACUUUUUACCUCCCAUUGCCCUGCAUCUAAUGAACUAUCCUAUCUGAAGGAUUUUCUGUUGUGUACUUUCUACUCCUUUCUAUGCCCAUGGCAACUAUCCAUACUGCAACGCCCCUGCCUUUCACCUGGACAUCGUCAGCUUAUCCUCACUCAGUCCAAACAGCACCAUUUGAGUAUUCAGGUAGGAGCUGGGAUUGUAAUUAUGCAUGAGAGUCAGUCCCUGUUUUUAAAUUGUCCUUAGUCUAGUUAAGGAGCAGGACAAGCAAGCUGACAAUGGAAAUACUAUUUUAGAGCAAAGAAAUGGAGACAUUUUCAGCACAUAUAGGAGGGCCACCCAACUGAGGCAGAGGUUCAAGGGUGAUUUUGGAGAAGGAAGGGAUGCCACACUAGUCAGAGAAGGCAGGUGGAAAGGAAAUGACUCAGCAAAGGUUUGGAGGUGUGAGUGGCCAUGGCACGUUCACGGAACUGUGAGGGGUUCUGAAUAACAAUCCCAGGAAAGCGGGUAAUGGGAAGACAGUAGCUAAGCAAGGAGACAGGAGCCGGCUGUGUUGGGUCUGUGUUACAUUCGUUUGUCAUUGUCACGCAUCUGUUCAUGGAUUUGAGUGUUUACUAUGCACAAAGCUAGAGACUAAGCACCAUGUCUUUAAGGAAACUAAGAAUCAUUUUCAUCAUUUGUUGAUGAGCAAAAUCACAGGUGAGGUGACGUUGGCACUGGAUGCAGAGAGGAGAAAGGGCUGACCAAUGCCUGACUGAUGCCUGACCAGUGACCUUCUACCUCUGCAGUCCCCAGACCUCAGCUGCAGAAUGCAGCUUCACUGACAGUGCAACUAAAUUUCAGGUUAACUUUCCUCUUUUUGUAGGAAAAUAUAAAUCUGCGAAGGAUGAUGGGGCAUUCAGCAGUGAGGAAAUGAGUCAGGGACUAAGUAGAAGCGAGCUAGAUGGUUGGGCAAUUUUCUUAAAUGCUAUAUGAAAGGAGAAUCUUGAAAAGGAAUAAGGUUUGACUUGACUCCUUAUUCAGAACUUAUAAACAUGCUGGGCGGCAUGCACUAGGCAGAGCAUCAGUGCAUUAGGAGCUGUAAUCUAGUUGAGUUUCUACAAAGUAACUCCAACCAAGAAAUGAAAAAUGAGGGUGUUCGAUUUCUACAGAAUCAAUUUUUCAAAAAAAAAAGGUAGUGAGUAAUGGAUGCAACAGAAUGGAAUAACUGAAUAAUACAGUGGAAAGGAAUUAGGAGCAAAAAAGGGAAAUGAGAGUGCUUAAAGAUAACCUUAUCCAGGGCAAAGGGUUAUAAACUACCAUUUUUAACCAUAAAGGUACUCUUAGGCUGAGGAAAAGAAUAAGAAAAAUAAAAAGUAAUUUAAGAUAAAAAAAGAGAGAAACAUGAAAUAUUAAACACACGGGCCAUGCAAUAUUGAAAAGGUGGAGCAAAAUUAAAAUAAUAUAUAAGCUUUGACAGUUUCCACUUUUGUUUAAAGCUGUGUUGCUUCAGCCUGUCUCCCAAACCAUUGCCACGUUCCUGGUGGCCCUUGCUCAAAGCCUCUGGGGGAAACACUGAGCUCUACUAACUUUUCCUUUCUCUCUCUCUUCAGGCAACUCAGAGUUACUAUCCCUUCUGUCUGCAAAUACCAGUCCAGCCACCCAGCUGGAUGAGUCUUUGUUAAACUUCAGGUCUUGCUCCAGUUCUUGGAAUUAUGCAAUAAAAGAGAGUGCCUGCUUCUGAGACAGAGUGACCAAGGUUCUGGAGACAAAAUGAUGAAGCUGAACUCUCAAAAAAAGGUGAACCUCUCCUUCUGGAAUCUGUGCUCUUGAAGUCUCUUUCCUCUUUUAUAUAUAUUAUACAUACACACACACACACAUAUAUAAAUUUU
This is a non-coding RNA of Sus scrofa (pig), 5956 nucleotides long. The record is from RefSeq and is a predicted model, not a curated record. NCBI's taxonomy places the organism in Eukaryota, Metazoa, Chordata, Mammalia, Artiodactyla, Suidae.